UACGGAAGGUCCAGGCGUUAUCCGGAUUUAUUGGGUUUAAAGGGAGCGCAGGCGGGCUUUUAAGCGUGUUGUGAAAUGUAACGGCUCAACCGUUGAAUUGCAGCGCGAACUGGAGGCCUUGAGUGAGUACGACGUGUACGGAAUUCGUGGUGUAGCGGUGAAAUGCUUAGAUAUCACGAAGAACUCCGAUUGCGAAGGCAGUGCACGAGUCCUUAACUGACGCUAAAGCUCGAAAGUGCGGGUAUCGAAC
Molecule: ribosomal RNA, 250 nt
Filed under: uncultured prokaryote
Description: partial 16S ribosomal RNA
Rfam family: Bacterial small subunit ribosomal RNA
Source: RNAcentral